AAGCCCUUAGAGGCUCUGGGAGGCGAGGCCUAUCGCUCAGACCCUGCCCUCUGGCCUGGCCUCUGCAAGCCACCCAUGGGGUCUCCCAAAAAGGCAUCUUUGGCCACCUCUGCCCCUACACAAAAGGAUCCUGAUAUGAUCCCGCCACCUCCAACUCUCCAGUGGAUCAAAGCUCUGGAUCCUUCAUACUCCAUCUAGAAGGAGGGCCGGAGGUCCCGCCAACAGCCACUGAGGAACCGAGGCCUUCUACCCCUAAUCACCUGAGUGAACGUGGAAGCAGACGCUCCAGACCUAGUGGAGGUCUUCAAAAGAUGGUCCCAGCCACAUGACCGACCCUAAGACGCAACUGCCCGGCUAGGUCGCUCCUGGAUUCCUUACCCCCAGAAAUUACCUCCCCAGUACCUUGGGACAAAGCUUAUGCGGCCAGACUCAAGAGUCAGACCGCCUAUGAUUCCAUCUGUGACGGGUGAGAGCCUGCGCUGUGUGAAGGAAGGUCUCG
Long non-coding RNA from Zalophus californianus (California sea lion), 499 nucleotides. RefSeq lists it as uncharacterized. The transcript is spliced from 3 exons. The record is from RefSeq and is a predicted model, not a curated record. NCBI's taxonomy places the organism in Eukaryota, Metazoa, Chordata, Mammalia, Carnivora, Otariidae.